This is a long non-coding RNA of Lucilia sericata (common green bottle fly), 307 nucleotides long. RefSeq lists it as uncharacterized. The record is from RefSeq and is a predicted model, not a curated record. Lineage: Eukaryota; Metazoa; Arthropoda; Insecta; Diptera; Calliphoridae. The transcript has 3 exons.
UUUAGUUCUAAAAUAAAAUCUCAAGAAAAACAAACAUAUUUUUAUAAAAUUUUAAAAUUAUUAUUUCAAAAAUAAUUUACAUGUAAAUAGAAAUACAUUUAGUGAAAACGUACAUAUAUCAAUAAUUGUCAAAAGAAUUAUGAAAAUGUGUGGAACAAUUUUCUCCCUCAUUUGUAAUUAUUUGUAAUUAUGAGAAAUCACAGCUAAAUACUUUUAUGUGAAACAUCCAAGUAGUAGCUGCUGAUUGACACAAGCUGAUGCCGAAAUAUGUAUUUGACGCUGUCGGUAUGCUACCAAUAAAGUCGCU